RNAcentral lists this ribosomal RNA (247 nucleotides) under uncultured bacterium. RNAcentral describes it as "partial 16S ribosomal RNA". It matches the Rfam family "Bacterial small subunit ribosomal RNA", at positions 330 to 526 of the family's 1533-position model. The record is from RNAcentral.
GCCUCCCUCCGCCGCCACUACACGACUACCGUACCGGGACGGGACGAGCGAGGUAGGGGUAAGUAAGUUAGGUACGAAGUAGGGGAAACCCGGUACGAUCCAGCGACGCCGCGUGUGUGAAGAAGGCCGUGCGGGUUGGUAAGACACUUUAGUUGGGACGAAAGACUACGGACUAAUAUUCUGUGGUCUUGAUUUAACCCAAAGAAAAAGACACCGGCUAACUCUGUGCCAGCAGCCGCGGUAAUUC